AACGAACGCUGGCGGCGUGCUUAAUACAUGCAAGUCGAACGAGAAAAUCCGACUUCGGUUGGGUGAGUAAAGUGGCGAACGGGUGAGUAACACGUGGAUAAUCUGCCCUCAAAUCCGGGAUAAUCCUUCGAAAGGAGGUCUAAUACCGGAAAUACCUUCGGGGGACAUCCCCUGAAGGUCAAAGGCGGGGUAACCUGUUGUUUGAGGAUGAGUCCGCGCUCCAUUAGCUUGUUGGUGAGGUAACGGCUCACCAAGGCUGUGAUGGAUAGCCGACCUGAGAGGGUGACCGGCCACACUGGGACUGAGAUACGGCCCAGACUCCUACGGGAGGCAGCAGUAGGGAAUAUUGCGCAAUGGACGAAAGUCUGACGCAGCAACGCCGCGUGGGUGAUGAAGCUCCUUGGAGUGUAAAACCCUGUCAGUGGGGAAGAAACGUACGGGUAGUAACUGAUCCGUACCUGACGGUACCCGCAGAGGAAGUCCCGGCUAACUCCGUGCCAGCAGCCGCGGUAAUACGGGGGGGACUAGCGUUGUUCGGAUUUACUGGGCGUAAAGGGCGCGUAGGCGGACUUUCAAGUCGGAUGUGAAAACUGGCGGCUCAACUGCCAGCCUGCAUUCGAUACUGUUAGUCUUGAGUACAGGAGGGGAGAGUGGAAUUCCAGGUGUAGCGGUGGAAUGCGUAGAUAUCUGGAAGAACACCCGUAGCGAAGGCGACUCUCUGGACUGAUACUGACGCUAAAGCGCGAAGGCUAGGGGAGCAAACAGGAUUAGAUACCCUGGUAGUCCUAGCGGUAAACGAUGGGCACUAGGUGUCGGGGGUAUCGACCCCCUCGGUGCCGCAGUUAACGCAGUAAGUGCCCCGCCUGGGGAGACGAUCGCAAGGUU
RNAcentral lists this ribosomal RNA (885 nucleotides) under uncultured bacterium. RNAcentral describes it as "bacterial SSU rRNA". It matches the Rfam family "Bacterial small subunit ribosomal RNA", at positions 28 to 895 of the family's 1533-position model. The record is from RNAcentral.